AUGACACGAGAUAAGAGCUGGAUGGACAGGGAAAGAAAUUCUGUUGAGUGGCAAACUGGCAUGAAGGAUUUCUUGAAUUUUGCCUUAGAUGGUGCUCACCCAGACUCAACAGUCCCAUGCCCAUGUAGGAGAUGUCUCAAUGUUGUUCCAAAAACUAAAAAGGAAGUUCAUACUGACUUGUUGUUCAAUGGGAUGGAUCCAACCUACACUCACUGGAUAUACCAUGGUGAACAAUCCGAUGAGGCAAGCAUGUCUGAAGAUUCUGAUAAUGAAGAUGCUUUAGAUGAUGGUGCUGGGGUAUGUGACAUGCUCAAUACUCUCAUAAGGGGCACAAACAUGGAAAGCAAUGCAGACAUUGGUGAAGGUGUGGGAGACAUUCAUGUGGAUGCUUCCAGCGGUGAUGAAAGGAACCAGGAGCCAAAUGCAACAGCCAAGGUCUUUUUCGAACUAUUGAAAGAGGCAAAAAAAGAGUUGUACCUAGGUUGCAAGGAUUUCACGAAGCUAUCUUUCAUUGUGAAGCUUUACCAAAUCAAGUGUGUGUCUGGGAUGACCAAUAGAGCAUGUGACUUAGUUCUGCAGAUGUUCACGUAG
This 591-nucleotide ribosomal RNA is filed under the name Triticum aestivum (bread wheat). RNAcentral's name for it is "partial small subunit ribosomal RNA". Lineage: Eukaryota; Viridiplantae; Streptophyta; Magnoliopsida; Poales; Poaceae. The record is from RNAcentral.